GACGAACGCUGGCGGCGUGCUUAACACAUGCAAGUCGAACGGUAAGGCCCUUCGGGGUACACGAGUGGCGAACGGGUGAGUAACACGUGGGUGAUCUGCCCUGCACUUCGGGAUAAGCCUGGGAAACUGGGUCUAAUACCGGAUAGGACCACUGCCUGCAUGGGUGGUGGUGGAAAGCUUUUGCGGUGUGGGAUGGGCCCGCGGCCUAUCAGCUUGUUGGUGGGGUGAUGGCCUACCAAGGCGACGACGGGUAGCCGGCCUGAGAGGGUGACCGGCCACACUGUGACUGGGAUACGGCCCAGACGCCUACGGGAGGCAGCAGUGGGGAAUAUUGCACAAUGGGCGCAAGCCUGAUGCAGCGACGCCGCGUGAGGGAUGACGGGCUUCGGGUUGUAAACCUCUUUCAGCACCGACGAAGCGCAAGUGACGGUAGGUGCAGAAGAAGGACCGGCCAACUACGUGCCAGCCGCCGCCGUAA
Molecule: ribosomal RNA, 478 nt
Filed under: uncultured bacterium
Lineage: Bacteria
Description: partial 16S ribosomal RNA
Rfam family: Bacterial small subunit ribosomal RNA
Source: RNAcentral